This 147-nucleotide small nuclear RNA is filed under the name Castor canadensis (American beaver). RNAcentral's name for it is "U12 minor spliceosomal RNA (ENSCCNG00000020137.1)". It matches the Rfam family "U12 minor spliceosomal RNA". From Rfam's summary of the family: Although the U12 sequence is very divergent from that of U2, the two are functionally analogous. Lineage: Eukaryota; Metazoa; Chordata; Mammalia; Rodentia; Castoridae. The record is from Rfam by way of RNAcentral.
AUACCUUAAACUUAUGAGUAAUGGAAAUAACGAUUCAGGGUGAUGCUCAAAUCCUCACUACUGAUGUAGCGUGAAUUUUUGAGUGGAAGAUUACCCCUAAGGUGAACCACCUACUUUGCAGGAUGCCUGGGUGUAGUCAUCUGCCCG